GAUCAUGGCUCAGAACGAACGCUGGCGGCAUGCCUAACACAUGCAAGUCGAACGAGACCUUCGGGUCUAGUGGCGCACGGGUGCGUAACGCGUGGGAAUCUGCCCCUCGGUUGGGAAUAACACAGAGAAAUUUGUGCUAAUACCUUAUAAUGUCUUCGGACCAAAGAUUUAUCGCCGAGGGAUGAGCCCGCGUAGGAUUAGGUAGUUGGUGGGGUAAAUGGCCUACCAAGCCGACGAUCCUUAGCUGGUCUGAGAGGAUGAUCAGCCACACUGGGACUGAGACACGGCCCAGACUCCUACGGGAGGCAGCAGUGGGGAAUAUUGGACAAUGGGCGAAAGCCUGAUCCCAGCAAUGCCGCGUGAGUGAUGAAGGCCUUAGGGUUGUAAAGCUCUUUUACCCGGGAUGAUAAUGACAGUACCGGGAGAAUAAGCUCCGGCUAACUCCGUGCCAGCCGCCGC
Molecule: ribosomal RNA, 459 nt
Filed under: uncultured bacterium
Lineage: Bacteria
Description: bacterial SSU rRNA
Rfam family: Bacterial small subunit ribosomal RNA
Source: RNAcentral